RNAcentral lists this ribosomal RNA (1259 nucleotides) under Bivitellobilharzia loxodontae. Its description in RNAcentral is "eukaryotic LSU rRNA". It matches the Rfam family "Eukaryotic large subunit ribosomal RNA", at positions 72 to 983 of the family's 3401-position model. Lineage: Eukaryota; Metazoa; Platyhelminthes; Trematoda; Strigeidida; Schistosomatidae. The record is from RNAcentral.
GGAUUCCCUCAGUAACUGCGAGUGAACAGGGAUUAGCCCAGCACCGAAGCCUGCGGUUAUUUGAUCGCUAGGCAAUGUGGUGUUUAGGUUGGUUCAUGGCACUACUGCUCUGCCCCAAGUCCAGCAAUGAGUACGGCUUACUGUUCUGGCCCAAAGAGGGUGAAAGGCCCGUGGGGGUAGAGAUCAAGCAUGACAGUUUUGCUGUGGGCUAACCUUGGAGUCGGGUUGUUUGUGAAUGCAGCCCAAAGUGGGUGGUAAACUCCAUCCAAGGCUAAAUACUUACACGAGUCCGAUAGCAAACAAGUACCGUGAGGGAAAGUUGAAAAGUACUUUGAAGAGAGAGUAAACAGUGCGUGAAACCGCUCAGAGGUAAACGGGUGGAGUUGAACUUUGGGCAUACUGGCCGCCUUCGGUGUCCGUCUAACUGCGGGUACCUGCCUCUAGGUAGGUAUGUGUGGUGCGCUUAUCAUGUGCUGCACGCAUUGGAGGUGUGAGGGUCUGCUUGUCAGUGCACUUUCUCAGGGUGUUCACCACGACCGGCACUGCUGCCUGUCUGCUGUGGCCAAACUGAUCAGGCCUGAUUAUCGUUGGGCUUGGUUGGGUCGGCAGGUGACUCACUGGUCCAUUCUAUGGGCUAUGAGUGUUACUAACCGGCUAUAGUGGAUCUGUGCGGUGUGUCGGAGCUGGCGGCUUUGCAUGCGUGCCCUGUCCUUCGGAUGAGGUUGAGUCUGGUCGGUUCGUUGCUAGCUUCGGCUGGCCGGCUGAUGGCUUGAUCUUGUUCAGUUGGCGGUUGCGUGUGUGAUUCUGCUUGGGCCGAUAGUCUGUGGUGUUGUGGUAGACGAUCCACCUGACCCGUCUUGAAACACGGACCAAGGAGUUUAACAUGUGCGCGAGUCAUUGGGUGUUACGAAACCCAAAGGCGAAGUGAAGGUAAAGGUUCGGCUUGUCCGGACUAAGGUGAGAUCCCGCUGUCUUGCCCAAAUUUCCAAGUUGUGAGCUGUGGGCGCAUCACCGGCCCGUCCCAUGACGUAGACAUGUGACCUCGUGUCGUGUGCACCGUCGGGGCGGAGCAAGAGCGUACACGUUGAGACCCGAAAGAUGGUGAACUAUGCUUGCGAAGGUUGAAGCCAGAGGAAACUCUGGUGGAGGACCGUAGCGAUUCUGACGUGCAAAUCGAUCGUAUAACGUGAGUAUAGGGGCGAAAGACUAAUCGAACCAUCUAGUAGCUGGUUCCCUCCGAAGUUUCCCUCAGGAUAGCU